GCCUACGACCAUAUCAUCCUGAAUGCACCCGAUCUCGUUUGAUCUUGGAAGCUAAGAAGGUGAGAGCCUCGUCAGUACUUGGAUUGGAGACUGCCUGGGAAUUCCAGGCUUUUCUAUUUU
RNAcentral lists this ribosomal RNA (120 nucleotides) under Petromyzon marinus (sea lamprey). The record is from RNAcentral. Lineage: Eukaryota; Metazoa; Chordata; Hyperoartia; Petromyzontiformes; Petromyzontidae.